CCUACGGGUGGCAGCAGUGGGGAAUAUUGGGCAAUGGGCGCAAGCCUGACGCAGCAACGCCGCGUGGAGGAAGAAGGCUUUCGGGUUGUAAACUCCUUUUCUCAGGGACGAAGAAAGUGACGGUACCCGAGGAAUAAGCCACGGACAACUACGUGCCAGCCGCCGCGGUAAUACGUAGGUGGCAAGCGUUCUCCGGAGGUACUGGGUGUAAAGGGCGUGUAGGCGGGGGCGCAAGUCAGAUGUGAAAACCACGGGCUCAACCUGUGGACUGCAUUUGAAACUGUUUUUCUUGAGUGCGGGAGAGGCAGGCGGAAUUCCUGGUGUAGCGGUGAAAUGCGUAGAGAUUAGGAGGAACACUAGUGGCGAAGGCGGCCUGCUGGACAGCAACUGACGCUGAGGCGCGAAAGCGUGGGGAGCAAACAGGAUUAGAUACCCUGGUAGUC
RNAcentral lists this ribosomal RNA (443 nucleotides) under uncultured bacterium. RNAcentral's name for it is "partial 16S ribosomal RNA". It matches the Rfam family "Bacterial small subunit ribosomal RNA", at positions 338 to 795 of the family's 1533-position model. The record is from RNAcentral.